RNAcentral lists this transfer RNA (72 nucleotides) under Sphaerulina populicola P02.02b. RNAcentral describes it as "tRNA-Gln (TTG) (tRNA-Gln-TTG-1-1)". It matches the Rfam family "tRNA". Rfam says of the family: Transfer RNA (tRNA) molecules are approximately 80 nucleotides in length. The record is from RNAcentral. Lineage: Eukaryota; Fungi; Ascomycota; Dothideomycetes; Mycosphaerellales; Mycosphaerellaceae.
GGUUUUAUGAUGUAGUGGUUAGCAUACCAGAUUUUGAUUCUGGUUACCCCGGUUCGAAUCCGGGUAAGACCU